UGAGGAAUAUUGGUCAAUGGGCGAGAGCCUGAACCAGCCAAGUCGCGUGCAGGAAGAAUGUCCUAUGGAUUGUAAACUGCUUUUGCAGGGGAAUAAAGUUCAGCACGUGUGCUGUUUUGUAUGUACUCUGCGAAUAAGGAUCGGCUAACUCCGUGCCAGCAGCCGCGGUAAUACGGAGGAUCCGAGCGUUAUCCGGAUUUAUUGGGUUUAAAGGGUGCGUAGGCGGGUUAAUAAGUCAGUGGUGAAAGUUUGCAGCUUAACUGUAAAAUUGCCGUUGAAACUGUUAAUCUUGAGUGUAGAUAAGGUAGGCGGAAUGUGUUUUGUAGCGGUGAAAUGCAUAGAUAUAACACAGAACCCCGAUUGCGAAGGCAGCUUACCGGGCUACCACUGACGCUGAUGCACGAAAGCGUGGGGAUCAAACAG
This 423-nucleotide ribosomal RNA is filed under the name uncultured bacterium. RNAcentral describes it as "bacterial SSU rRNA". It matches the Rfam family "Bacterial small subunit ribosomal RNA", at positions 355 to 775 of the family's 1533-position model. The record is from RNAcentral.